RNAcentral lists this ribosomal RNA (626 nucleotides) under Platax orbicularis (orbicular batfish). RNAcentral's name for it is "partial small subunit ribosomal RNA". It matches the Rfam family "Bacterial small subunit ribosomal RNA", at positions 544 to 1445 of the family's 1533-position model. The record is from RNAcentral. Lineage: Eukaryota; Metazoa; Chordata; Actinopteri; Ephippiformes; Ephippidae.
GUUGAUAAACACCGGCGUAAAGAGUGGUUAUGACUAACAAUUAAACUAAAGCCGAACGCUCUCAGAGCUGUUAUACGCAUCCGAAAGUAAGAAGCCCAACCACGAAAGUAGCUUUACACCCCUGAACCCACGAAAGCUAAGAUACAAACUGGGAUUAGAUACCCCACUAUGCUUAGCCCUAAACAUUGGUAACGCCCCACACCCGUUACUCGCCCGGAAACUACGAGCAUCAGCUUAAAACCCAAAGGACUUGGCGGUGCUUUAGAUCCACCUAGAGGAGCCUGUUCUAGAACCGAUACCCCCCGUUAAACCUCACCCCUCCUUGUUACUUCCGUCUAUAUACCGCCGUCGUCAGCCUACCCUGUGAAGGUCUAAUAGUAAGCAAAAUUGGCACAGCCCAGAACGUCAGGUCGAGGUGUAGCAUAUGGAAGGGGAAGAAAUGGGCUACAUUCUCUAAUCUCAGAGAACACGCACGACAUAAUGAAAACACAUGUCACAAAGGAGGAUUUAGUAGUAAGCAGGAAAUAGAGAGUUCCGCUGAAAUAGGCCCUUAAGCGCGCACACACCGCCCGUCACUCUCCCCAAGCCUACACAAACCCAAAUAACCUAAACCCUACUAUUGCAAA